RNAcentral lists this ribosomal RNA (435 nucleotides) under Triticum aestivum (bread wheat). RNAcentral's name for it is "partial small subunit ribosomal RNA". The record is from RNAcentral. Lineage: Eukaryota; Viridiplantae; Streptophyta; Magnoliopsida; Poales; Poaceae.
AUGUCUAGCGACAAGGCGUCUGGGCCGGAUGGCUUCACCGGCCUCUUCUUCAAGAAGUGUUGGGGCAUUAUCAAGCACGACCUCAUGAGGGUGAUUCAAUGCUUUGACUCCCUCCACACAACUAAUCUUCACUGGCUCAACUCUGCGAAUGUUGUGCUGCUUCCCAAGAAGGAUGGGGCGGAGAGCAUCGUCGACUAUAGACCCAUCAGUCUCAUUCAUGGAAUCGCCAAGAUCAUAGCGAAAGUGCUUUCCAUAAGGCUUGGACCGCACAUGUCCACCCUUGUCUCCAACGCUCAAAGUGCUUUCAUCAAAACUCGGAGCAUCCACGACAACUUCAUGUAUGUUCGAAACCUCGCGCGGCGCCUUCACAAGAGCAAGAACCCCUCCCUGCUAUUCAAGUUGGACAUUCGCAAGGCCUCCGACUCCGUCAAAUAG